GAUGAAGAACGUAGCGAAAUGCGAUAACUAAUGUGAAUUGCAGAAUUCCGUGAAUCAUCGAGUCUUUGAACGCACAUUGCGCCCCCUGGUAUUCCGGGGGGCAUGCCUGUCCGAGCGUCAUUGCUGCCCAUCAAGCACGGCUUGUGUGUUGGGUCCUCGUCCCCCCCGGGGGACGUGCCCGAAAGGCAGCGGCGGCACCGCGUCCGGUCCUCGAGCGUAUGGGGCUUUGUCACCCGCUCAGCAGGCCCGGCCGGCGCUGGCCGACGCGAAAGCAACCAUUUUUUCUCCAGGUUGACCUCGGAUCAGGUAGGGAUACCCGCUGAACUUAAGCAUAUCAAUAAGCGGAGGA
RNAcentral lists this unclassified non-coding RNA (349 nucleotides) under soil metagenome. Its description in RNAcentral is "partial contains 5.8S ribosomal RNA, internal transcribed spacer 2, and large subunit ribosomal RNA". The stretch from base 1 to 120 matches the Rfam family "5.8S ribosomal RNA", at positions 35 to 154 of the family's 154-position model. The record is from RNAcentral.